AUUAUUAAGCCUCCCUCCGAGGUCCUUCAGUUGGGCAAUAAACUUUGGAGCUCCUGUCUUGUUGGUAGUUUUAUUAAUUCUAGGCUUCCUUUCAAGCUUGUGGAUGAUAGUGUUCAUAAAUUGUGGGAUAAGUUUGGAUUACAAAAGGUGUUCCUCCAGGAUAAGGGGCUGUUUAUUUUCAAGUUCUCUUCUCAUGAGGAACGUGACAAUGUUCUUG
Molecule: long non-coding RNA, 217 nt
Filed under: Panax ginseng (ginseng)
Lineage: Eukaryota; Viridiplantae; Streptophyta; Magnoliopsida; Apiales; Araliaceae
Description: long non-coding RNA (PGIN_LNC007398)
Source: RNAcentral